UGACAAAAGGAUAAAAAGAAAAUGAUUAAAAAUGAAUAAAAAUUGGAUGCAAAAGUUCACGAAAAUUUAAACUGAAUGCAUCAAAAUGAUCAACGUGAAAUAAACUUCUCGGAAAUAUACAUGUUUUGAUCAAAUUUUGAAAUAGAAAACAUCCGGUUAAAACGCACAAACAGAUCAAAAUAUGAUCGAAAAAUUAGUAAAAAAUAAAUCAAAAACACCAUGUUAAACUACAUGAAACGUAUAUUAAUAAGACUAAUGUAUGCAAGCUUGAUUUGAAAACAU
Molecule: long non-coding RNA, 282 nt
Filed under: Lathyrus oleraceus (garden pea)
Lineage: Eukaryota; Viridiplantae; Streptophyta; Magnoliopsida; Fabales; Fabaceae
Description: Pisum sativum (pea) long non-coding RNA (PSAT_LNC005196)
Source: RNAcentral